GAUGAACGCUGGCGGCGUGCCUAAUACAUGCAAGUCGAGCGAACGGACGAGAAGCUUGCUUCUCUGAUGUUAGCGGCGGACGGGUGAGUAACACGUGGAUAACCUACCUAUAAGACUGGGAUAACUUCGGGAAACCGGAGCUAAUACCGGAUGAUAUUUUGAACCGCAUGGUUCAAAAGUGAAAGACGGUCUUGCUGUCACUUAUAGAUGGAUCCGCGCUGCAUUAGCUAGUUGGUAAGGUAACGGCUUACCAAGGCAACGAUGCAUAGCCGACCUGAGAGGGGGAUCGGCCACACGGGAAGUGAGACACGGUCCAGACGCCUACGGGAGGCAGCAGAAGGGAAUCUUACGCAAUGGGCGGAAGCCUGACGGAGCAACGCCGCGUGAGUGAUGAAGGUCUUCGGAGCGUAAAACUCUGUUAUUAGGGAAGAACAUAUGUGUAAGUAACUGUGCACAGCUUGACGGUACCUAAUCAAAAAGCCACGGCUAACUACGUG
Molecule: ribosomal RNA, 497 nt
Filed under: uncultured bacterium
Lineage: Bacteria
Description: partial 16S ribosomal RNA
Rfam family: Bacterial small subunit ribosomal RNA
Source: RNAcentral